GUUAAUAAUCUCGCUAAAUCUCGGCAAUCACAUGACGAGACUUACAGACCCUAUUGCCGAACAUAAUCGGGUUGCUGAGACCGAGGCCAUAUACAAAGACGGAAACUGACGCUAGCAACUACGCGUGUCGUUUGUUUUAAAGUAUUACGUUGUUUCAUGAAUGACUAGAAAUACUAUGCAAGUGUAAAAAGGUAUUAAUUACGACAAAUGUGCCACUCAAAUGAAAUUUUGAUCGUGAAUUUUCUAUAAAAUUGGCAUGUUUUAACUGUUUACAAAUCUAACACGUGCUCAGUGCCUCUCUUUCGCUUUUUCCGAACUGGUGACCUCCAAGGUCAAUGCACAUCGGAGGUUACGAGCAGGAAUUACUGACAGGAUGCCAAUAAUUCAUGAAUCUAUAUUUUCUGCUGAUUUGACGGGUUUAUUGCUUCAGAUUCACUCUGGUUCUACUAAGUUAUAUACAUGUAUAUUCAAUCACAUAUAUGUUGACUAUUUGUUCUUUUAUUUUUUUAUUUAUUUUCCGUCAGUUACAGCUUGUAUUGCUUUAAACUCGAAAUAUUUUGGCUAAUUUUGUCAAUAUGCGUCUUUUAAACUUAUUUUCAAAAAUUAUUGAAUCAAGACAUACAUGUACGUUCCAAUUGGUUUUAUCAUAUAUUUGAAUAACUUAUUUUUUAUCUUUCAUGCAACACCUUUAGGGAAAUUAACAUGAGACGUGCAACACCUUCUUUGCACUUUUCAGGCAAGAUAUUGUGGCGAGACAUUUUCCACACAAGAAUUUGAAAGUCAUGUCAGGAAGCUGCACGCGGCAUCGUCUGCAAAAAUAUCGAUGUACAAAUGUCUUCAACGCGAUUCCUUGCUGGUGAUGUUUAAUUAGCCGUUAAGUCUUGAUUAGCGGACGAGGAAGUAAGGGAGAUGAGGUACACGUUUUUAAACUUCACACAACGGAUGUUAAGACAUCGCUCUCCAUCUCCAUUGCUUACGUCAUUUGUGUUUCUAUUCGUGAUGAUUUUUGUUUUGACCCAGUUGAUUCCCGGACCUUAUCCACCAUUUU
Ostrea edulis (European flat oyster) is the source of this 1048-nucleotide long non-coding RNA. RefSeq lists it as uncharacterized. The transcript is spliced from 4 exons. Lineage: Eukaryota; Metazoa; Mollusca; Bivalvia; Ostreida; Ostreidae. The record is from RefSeq and is a predicted model, not a curated record.